AUGAUAUCAACGCGUGUUUUGAGUGGUUUUCGACGCGCAUGUUGGUGGUUGUUGUUGUAUGUGGGUGUAGUGGGUGUUUCUCGAUGAUUGUUGUGAAUGGCAAGAGUCUUUUUAUUUCUCAGUUCGUAUUUCCGAGCCGUAUGUUAAUUUUUACCAGCUAAAAUUCAAAGCCCUCCAGGAUGGACUCUCAGAAGUUCUGCCUCAAAUGGGACUGGUUCCAGGACAGCGUCACGUCUGUGUUUGACCAGCUCUGCUCUGGAGGGGAGCUGCUGGGCGUCACGCUCUGCUGUGAGGGACAGCAUGUCCGGGCCCACAGGAUGAUGCUGUCUGCCUGCAGUCUGUACUUCAGGGAACUGCUCAAGGCUCGGCGGCUAAUGCUCCGGGCUCCUUACCGAUGACGGAGGAGGGUCCUUCUCUCCGCCUCUGAGGGAGCUCACUGAACUACCCUCUCGCCCCGCGCCAUCUGCGCCGUCCUCACCGCCGGCCGAUCCGACCAACGAGAAUGACACUGACGCCCUCCGGCACUGCUGGCAGAGGAAACUGAAGGAGAGCGUCGCUGCCAGACUACCCGAGGGCGCCUAUCUGCACCAGCCGCCGUCCCGGUACAUUUUCCCCGGAGUGGAGGUGCUGGUCGAUCCUGACGACUCGGACAGUGACAGAGAUUCGCUGGGCUCGGAGCACGGCAGCGACGAUGAGUCUGGGACCGCUGGAGACCAUCUAAACCACUCCUGGGAUACUCCAGAGACGGACGUCACGCCUCCACACGCCGACUCAUGUCCUCCAACUCCUCCCGGACGGGUUACUCCCUCUGCGGCAUCAUCAGGAGCGGCGUCUUCAACAUCGGCUGCUGCAGUGGAGACUUCAGCCAGACCGGCGGUGAACCCUUUGUCGGAGGAUGCCGAGUCGGAGCCCGCCACGGUGGGUUGUUGGGGGCUGAGCCCUGAAAAGGCAGACCAGUGACACACUAGGAAAGGACGAGGGGGAUGUGAAGAGACGUCUGGCGCUCGGCGGUGGUGGCGAGCCUGAUGCUUCUCCCAUCACCGCGCCGCCAACGCCGGAGGCAGUGGCGGCGCGGGAAGUGCGCCGGAAAAUGCCACCGGCGCGGCUGACGAGAUCAGCUAAUCUACCACUUAGGUCCGGGGAUCGGGUAAAACACACACCGAAGUCGGGGUCAGUUCAGUGAGAGUUUUCAUGCGCACACCAACACAGAUUGGUGACCAUAAAGAUCUAUUUUCAUACAGUGUCUGCACACAAUAACUAAUGUUGUGCCUGGGUGAUUGAUGCGGUUAGACUGAGUUUGGGGCUAGGAAGUGGAAAUCAUGAAUCAGACUGAUUCGGUUUGAAAGCCAUCAUGUGAACUAUUUUGGAGCUAUGAGCCAAUGGUGAGCUAAUUUACGGCUGAAAGCUUUGUGGAGCUAUGAGCCAGUGGUUAGAUUUAUUUAGUUAUGAGCCAGUGGUGAGCUAAUUCGGAGCUGGGAACAACACCAGAAGGGGAGAGCCCGCUUUACUUGCUGGAUCAACAUGUUUUGCUAAUCUUCGUCCGCGUCGUCUAAAACUGUCACCUCACAUUUGGCAGGAUUUAAAAUGAGGCCGACAUCUGGGAGCAUCUUGGGGACUGUUAGAAGGUCAGAUAUUGUUGUGUCGGUGCGUCGCCGAGCUCCAGCUUAACCUGCUAAAAGAGGUUUUGUAUGACUGACCUUUCCUGAAAAUGUUAGCUAAGGCUUUAUGAUAUACUCAUAAUUUCAAAAUAUGAAAACAGUAAAAGGCAGAUUAAAUGUUGAUCACAAAUCCUCAAAUUUCAGCCUUUUAAUUGAAACACCCAUCAUUUUUACAAAAUUACCAUUUUAAAUUACAUACUUGAAAUGUGAAAUAAGAAAUAUUACACAUUGCUUACUUGAAGGCCAGCAGGCGCGCCCCCAGUUUGGUCUCCGGCUCUGGGGCCACAAAGUUGGCCGUCAUGCCCAAGAAGGCGACAAGUGUCCGGCUGCUCCAGAGGUCCAUGGUGAGGCACACAGUGCUGUCUUUUGGCAGGAGCAGAAGACUUUUCUUGAGCGCAGCUUUCUUGCCCUCUGCUAGGGACGGCAGCGCACGAAGCGUCUCCCAGGGACUGGGUACCUAUGAGCAUAUGACAUACCUAACAGCAAGGAGUCAUCAUAAACUUUGUAACUAUAUAGUUACACUUUCUCUACAGCUAUAACCAUGGAUCACAAUUUGUAGGCAACCUUUUGUACAGCCUGUACAAAAUAGAGAAGUAUUAGUGAAAAGUCAUUAUAUAGAUUUUAGAGUGUGAAUCUCUGGUUGCACAAGGAAUCUGAUUAGCUGAAGGAAAGGAGCUGUGAUGUAAUGAUGAAAAUUAAUGAAAAAUGUUGAUUUGUGACUAAAAUAGGCAAUAUCUUGAGUCUGUUC
Molecule: long non-coding RNA, 2406 nt
Organism: Amphibalanus amphitrite
Lineage: Eukaryota; Metazoa; Arthropoda; Thecostraca; Balanomorpha; Balanidae
Exons: 5
Source: RefSeq, a predicted model, not a curated record